Molecule: transfer RNA, 76 nt
Filed under: Escherichia coli
Lineage: Bacteria; Pseudomonadati; Pseudomonadota; Gammaproteobacteria; Enterobacterales; Enterobacteriaceae
Description: tRNA-OTHER
Rfam family: tRNA
About the family: Transfer RNA (tRNA) molecules are approximately 80 nucleotides in length. Their secondary structure includes four short double-helical elements and three loops (D, anti-codon, and T loops).
Source: RNAcentral
GCGUUGUUAGCUCAGCCGGACAGAGCAAUUGCCUUUAAGCAAUCGGUCACUGGUUCGAAUCCAGUACAACGCGCCA